GCAGAGUACUUGGGGGGUGUUCGUCUCACCAUUUCGUUUGACUGUGCUCCUUGACUAUAUGUGUUAUUUCGUAUUUUAUGUCAAC
This is a long non-coding RNA of Xenia sp. Carnegie-2017, 85 nucleotides long. RefSeq lists it as uncharacterized. The record is from RefSeq and is a predicted model, not a curated record. The transcript has 3 exons. NCBI's taxonomy places the organism in Eukaryota, Metazoa, Cnidaria, Anthozoa, Malacalcyonacea, Xeniidae.